This 14553-nucleotide long non-coding RNA is filed under the name Physcomitrium patens. Its description in RNAcentral is "long non-coding RNA (PPAT_LNC006797)". The record is from RNAcentral. Lineage: Eukaryota; Viridiplantae; Streptophyta; Bryopsida; Funariales; Funariaceae.
AUUUAGGGUUUAGGAUUUAGUUAAGAUUUAGUUUAGGAUUUAGGAUUUAGAUUAGAGUUUGAGUUAGGGUUUGGAUAAGAUUUUAUUUAAGAUUUAGGGUUUGGUUAGGAUUUGAUUUAAGGUUUACGGUUUGGAUUAGGGUUUGGUUUAGGAUUUAGGAUUUGGAUUAAGAUUUGGUUAGGAUUUGAUUUAGGAUUUAGGAUUUCGUUUAGGAUUUGGUUGGGAUUUGCUUUAGGAUUUGGUUGGGAUUUGAUUUAGGAUUUGAUUGGGAUUUGGUUUAGGAUUUGGUUGGGAUUUGAUUUAAGGUUUUUUUAGGGUUUGAUUUAGGGUUUAGGAUUUUAUUAGAAUUUAAGAUUCAAUUAGUUUUGGCCUAAAGUAUGAAUGAAGUUUAAUAGGAUUUUAACUAGAAUUAAAUUAAGAUUAAAUUGAGAUGUAUUUGAGUGACAUUUGUAUUCUUUCUAAUGUUUCUUUAAGAAUUCUUAUCAUUUGUUUGAAAUUUCUUUGAGGUUGUAGAAUAGAUAUUAAUUUUUUUUUUAAAGAUAUUGAUAAAAUAUAUUAAUAGUCCAUAUAAUAGGAAAUUUAGGAGGACAGAUGAGUGAUUUAGUUCUUAAAAGCGGUUAAUCACAAAAUUAUGGUUAGAAUUUGGAGAAUCAGGAGAAAGUAUAUAGGAGUUGUAGAAGUUAAUUAGGGUGCUAGACUGUGAUAGUCAUGAGCCGAGGGCCAUUGCUGUGAUAGUUGUGAGCUGAGGUAAGCUUGGUGCUUCCUCUUUUCUUUUGUUUGUUAUUUUCUUUGAAUAAGAGGAUUGAGAGUUUCUCAAUAUUGUGAAGUGAAUUAUGGAAUGGAAAUGUGAUUGGUAUUAUUUGAGAAGAAGAAAGAUUGAAUGCUGAAAUCUGAUUGUAGUUCAGGAGAGAGAAUGAGUCUAUGUUUGUGUGAAACACCGUAAUGUGAAUGGCAGUUUUGUAUGAAGAACUCCAGUGAUUGGAAUGAGGGUAAUUGUGUGCUGAAAGUUGUGAGGGCGCAGUAUUACAGUUGGAGAUUAUGAGGGUGAAUAUAUUGGUAGAAAUAGCAGUUAUUGGUAUGACGGAAUUACUGUAAGAAAGAGACCGAUAAGGUGAAGGAGGAGAUUAUAGUUUCCUUGUGUGUUCAGAUAUUGGAAAUAGAGAUGAUACAUUUAGGAGGUAAUUGAUUGUGUAACCCUAACGUGAACGCUUAAGCAACUAGUCAUUUUCCGUAUUUGAAUCUCCCUAUACAUGUUUAUUCCUAUUAGAUUAAUUUGGAAUAAGUAAAAUGAGCAAUCACAUUUUGGUACUAUUGUCAGGGAGUGAUAAUAGCUUUGAGUGUUAGAAAUUAAUUAGUAAACGUGUGAGAAAAUUGGCAAUGGAAGAUGAUUUCAGUAGUAUUUGAAGCAAGAUUAUGGUUAUUAAGAAUGAGAAUUUAACAGCAAAGACAAUAAAGCAAUCAAAAGAAGGAACAGAGAGAUUGCAAGCAAGAAAUUUGUUGUGUAACAAGCGAGAUCACAAAUUGAAAAAGAAGCAUCGACAAAGUUGGAUUAAGCCAUGGUUGCAUGCUUGUCGGCAUAUUCGAUCAUAUCUAGAAGGUGAUCGACCUCUAAUAUUUCAGAAGUACAUACGGUUAAAAAAGAUGCCAAGAACACUCGCGGAGAGCGUUGCUAAUAGUCCAGCAUACCUCUCGAAGCCAUUAAUGGAAAGCGAGGAAGGCACAGAAGAAUUAGAUACCCUAUUGGGUAUUUUUCUAAUUGGAGAUACGUCCAAUUCUAACAAGAUUGGUUUUGAAGAUCGGCAUAAAUAACUUGCCAAUAAAGACCAAUUUAGAGUAUAUCAAAACUUGUCGUUUUCACCUCAUAUUCAACUAGUAAAAUUAUUUGGAGAUAAUAAUAGUCAAUUGGGAAGGCCUGGAAGUCCGAAAAAAACUUUUACAGGAGAUAGUUUUUAUUUUAAUAAGAAAUUGAGCAGAACAAUGGCAUCUUUAAUGACGUUGUCGUAUUGUAACACGUCUAUAUGAUGAAAAUAUAAAUGAAGAAGAUUUAUUAAUAUUUAGUCACCUUGGAUGUUAGAAGCGGCGGCCAAUUCCAGUGCAAAUAUUGAGAGGCCAGGUUCAGUCACCCUAUUAUAGUCAACCGGGGCAUACUCACCAAUAACAAAAUGCUCCAUUCGAUUCUAGUAACGGGAGUCAACUGGAAGAGAAAGGACCAAUUCAACCUCCAGUGAGCCUCAUUUGGAGAGUCAAUUGGAUCCGAUUUCAGAAGACAUCUAAUCACGGUCCUAUUACGGGCCUCUUAUCUAGUAUGAGACUUGACUUGGUCGGGCAAUCCAAUGCGGUCCAAUUACGGGGUUUUGAUUCUGUUUCAGGCUGUUCCGUUCUUUGUGCCGUUCUAGGAACGUCCUUUCAAUAAAAAGAUCUCUUAAAGGCGAAAAUGGGGGGAGAAAGCGAGGGGGUCGAUUGUUCCAAUUCGGAGAGUCCAAGGCGGAAGAAUAGGAUCUUCUCAAGGUAAAAGGGAGGGUAGGUUAAGAAAUGGAUUUUUUUUUCAAGAAUCGGGAUUUUAGGUCGGAGAGCUAGCUUCAUGCUUUCGGAAAAAGAUGGAGAAUUGGGAUUUUUUUUUUAUAUAUAGGAUUUUGGGCAGACUGAGAGGGGGGUUGCUGAAAGUCAGUGUUAUAUUGAUGAAUCGGAUUUUUCUGUAAGAGAGGAAAGGCUAGUACUCUUGAUUGUUGAUAGAAUGGGAGAUAUUUCUAAGGUUGAAAUUCAGAGUUCUCUAGAAGGUUGAGUAUGCUGAAUGCAUGCGUGGUUGUGUUAAUCUGAUUGUACGGAUAGAGGAUAUUUUCCAACAAUUUAAAGAGAUAUUGGGAGUUGGUAAAUUGGGGGUUGUUUAGGGUUUCUAUGAUAACUAGGGACCUACCGACAGGGAUAAGAGGAAUAUCGAUGAGCGGCCAAGGGACAUCGGUGUGGAUUGCAGCAUAGCCUCACAAUUUGUAAGCGGGGUUGAACUGAAACUUCUUGAGCAUUCAAAAGGACUUGCAGAGACAAUAGCGAUAGAUGUUUCAUCACAAGUCAGAAGAACAGAUUGAGGAUCACAUCUUGUCAAAGUUCACGAUCUAGGAUUAAGAUAAUUAACGAUAAAGAUAAAAUAAAAAAUAUAAAAUAAAUAUAAUAAAAUAAAAAUAACAAAAGAGAUUGAAGUUAUAUAGGGUCUUUAGGUAUUUUAUAUUGGAAUUAAGCUUUUACAUUGCAAUCUGAUAUAGAUUGUAUUUGGGUAGUGAAGAACCCGAUAGACUGCUUGAGUACUAGUGAAACACCAUACUAUCUCCUGCAGCCAGACGCCCGACGCAUUCUUAAGCAAGAUAGCACGUAAUACGACAUAAGUGGUGAACCCGACGUGAAAGCUUGAGGUAGAAUGUAUUGGAUUUCGUUUGAUUUUAUUUUUAUUUUUAUGGAGAAUGAAAAUAAAAUUUUUGAAGGAUCUUUGGGAGGAGUUUCUAGUGGAGGUUCUUCUAAAGGACAAGGUAUGCACAUGGAUCCGUCUAUUGCUAGUAUGUUUCAAGCCUUCUCAUUAUCAAUGCAACAACAACAAAGCAAUGAUUGAAAAGUAGCUUUGGCAACCAAAGCAUUGCAAGUAGUGGUCAAUAAAAUUGAUCAAUUUGAUGGAAGGAAUAUUUCAAGGUAUUUAAGAUGUUAUGUUCGUGAAAUGGAAUUAAAUUGGAUUUCUGAGAAGAAAAUGGUUGAAUUAUUUGGACUUGCUAUGAUACUAGAGAUAAGAGACCAUAUUACAUCGAUUACAGAUCGUUAUGGAAAUUCAUGGGAGGUUUUUUCACAUGCAUUGAAAGAUGAAUAUUUCUUGGAAGAUGCUGAUCGCGUUACUAAGAAGCUGUUUCUGGAAUGGAUUGAACGGCCUAAUAAGAAUUUGCAAGCAACAGAGCUAUUAAGAGAAUUUGAGAGGUAGUACUCUCAAUUAUCGAAGGUAGAAAAAUUGACAUUGGAGCCAAACAAAGUUGAUCUAUUUCUUCACGCUACUGAUAGAAAAUUGUAAGGAAAAUUGGAAUUCCUUCUUGAAGACAAAGAAGAAGAUGAAGGAUUGACAACAAAGUGGAAGAACGUUGAAGAUGCAGUGGGAUUGUUUGCAAAAAGAGAAAGGAGGAAGGAUAGGAGUAAUAUUCCAAAAACAGUACAAGCACCCAAAGCUCCAAUGCGUACAAUACCACCAACAAUGCCUACAGUUCAACCUUCGACAUCCUUAUCAAAGAAAGCAGACAUGGGGAUAGAAGAAAUUAUACGAGGAAUGUGAGAUCUUCAAAUCAAAUUGGCAAGACUUGAAGAAAAUACUUCUACAAACAAUUUGAAGAAUGUUUCAAAACAAGGAUAUGUACAAAGAUGCAUUUGGUGUGAUGACGCUUCAUACACUAGGAAAGAUUGCAAUGAAUUUAAUAAUAUGAUAUGGUAAGGAAUUAUUUGCUGGAAAGAUGGGAAGAUAGCAUUAAAAGAUAGAGAGGAACUUCUUUAAACCAAUUUUGGCAAGGGAGGAAUGAGAGCAAUGGUUCAAGAUUACUUAAAAGAGCAUGAAAUAGCAGCACGAGAAAGUGCAAGUUAUGGUGCUAGAGUAGAUGAUGAAAUUGGUGGAAGUAUGGAAACUAGUGAGUUUUGGGCUUCUGCCAUUUCUACAAUGCAAGAAGGGAAAUUACCUCGAGAAGCGUUAUUGAGAAUUGCAGCUAUAAUACGAGUUGCAACAGGUUGAAAGGAUCCUAUUGAGUCUCUUUCAAUUCAUGCAUAUAUUGCUAAGAGCCAACAUGAAGCUUUGAUGGAAGAAAAGAGACGAGGAAAUUUUGAUGAUACGAGAGAAGGAAAUUCUUUUAAGAAGUAAACUCGAGGAGACAAGGCUCGGGAGGCAGCUUCACAAGAAUUGCCUGUAAAGGAUACCUCAGCAUCAUUGGAAGAAAAAACAAUGGAGACAAAAGAUAAGAGCAAAUCAAUUGCUUAUAAGCUACUUUCUGAUAUUGAAGCGGCAACAAAUUUGAAAGGGGUGUUGGAAGAACGUAUAUUAAAUGUUAAGGUGGAAUUCACAUUGAAAGAAGUUUUGAAAUUACAAAGAAGGAGUUUCAUGAUGUUAUCAUUGAUAGCAUUAAGCGAAAGAGGUAAUUAAUGGCUGAAACUGGAAUGAGUCAUGCUAUUGAUGCAAGAAUAUAUAAAGAUGAAGAAGAGGUUGAUAUUGGUUACAAGCAACCAACAAAUGAAAAGAAUGGGUAUAAUCAACGAGUACAUUUCGAAGAUUCUAGUAAUAAGGAAAUGGAAACUUUGAGCCAUUAUAUUCGAAAGCAUUGAGCAAGGGUAUUUACUGAGGUAUUAGUAAAAGUAGGAAAUAUUGAAGAACUAAUUGUUGCUUUCGUGGACCAUGGUUCUGAAAUAAAUCUUAUGUCUAAAGAUCUUUAUAAGAAGCAAAAAUGGCCAAUUGAUAUGGAACAUGGAUGGGCAAUACGAGCAGCUAAUAAGACAUAGGGCGAAUUAUAUAGAGCUUGUUCAGAUGUCAAAAUUCGGAUUGGGGAUGUUGCGACGGAGCAACAUUUCUUUGUUCAAGAUACAACGUCUUAUCCGUUGAUUUUAGCACAACCUUAUAUUAUGGUAACACGGAUAGAAACAAAAGUACUUGAUGAUGGUUCUGCUUAUGCAAGGGUACGUAGCGAAGAUGGAAGGAAAGCUGUACAAUUUCUAACAGUACCUCCUAACCAUGAACGAAAUCGAGAUAGGUUGAGGGAAAAACCAUUGACAAAGAUUGUUGAAGGAUUUAAGGAUUUUAGGGAGGUACCACCAUAAAGCGAGAUUAUGGAGGUACAAAAGAGGAGGUACUCUUGCAAGAUGAAGGUACCUUUGAUGCGAGUUUUAUUGGUCUUUUGAAAAAUGGAAAUAUUAUGUAUAAGAAAGUUGAUGAUUUUAAAAGAAAAGAAAGAAAAAGAUUAUAUAAUAUUGAAGGAGAAUUAUGCAAGUUAGGUACAUUGUGAGAUGAUGAGAGGAUUUUAAGUGUUUAUGAAGAAAAUGGACUGGAAGAUUCAUUGGAAUUGAUUACAUCUAUUGGGUUAGAGGAUAAUGAUAAGAUUUUUGAGAUUCAUUCAAGAGAGGUUUAUACCAUACUUGAAUCUUUUCAAGCACCAGAAGUCACUGUAGAGACGAGAUAUAAAAUAGCAGAUAAGCAGGUAAAGCUUGUUGUCAAACCAUUAUCAACAGAUUCUAAGGAACAAAUGGGAGAAGCAUCAAAAGAAGCAAGUUUAAGAGAUCCAAUGAGAAUUGGACAUCAGUUUACUAAAGAGACUUUUGAAGAAUUGAAGAUUGGUUUUGAUGGUUCUUUAUUGCCAGAGGAAAUUACUUGCUUCAAAAAGAUGUUGGCUAAAUAAGAUAGAUCGUUUGCCUUCGAAUUUUAUGAAAUUGGGUGUGUGGAUCUGAAUAUUAUAACACCUAUGGUUAUCUUCACUGUACCGCAUGUACUUUAGAAUCUAAGACUGAUUUCAGUACCGAGGGCACAUUUACCUAAAUUGGUGGAACUAUUAAAAAAAAAGAUAAAGAUGAAAAUAUUAGAACCCUCAUUUACGCCGUAUUCUAGUCGAUGGUUUAUAAUACCUAAGAAGAAUGGGUCACUACAUUUUAUUCAAGAUAUGCAACCGGUGAAUGUAGUAACUGUCAAGAAUGCAAGAAUUGGACCUAUUGUGGAUGAAUUUACUGAGGCAUUUGCAGGAAGGGCGAUCUAUUCAAUGGGUGACUUGUAUUCAGGUUAUGAUCAAUUUCAACUUGCUGAAGGAAGUAGAGAUAUGAUAAUAAUGAGGACACUACUUGGAUUGGUUAGAAUGUGCACUCUUCCUCAAGGUGCGACCAACUCAAUUGUGCAUAUGAUGAAUGGGAUGAAUAAGGUAUUGAGAAAUUUUAUUCUGGAGAAGACUAUGCCUUUUUUGGAUGAUGUUCCUAUAAAAGGGUGCAGAGAAGAAGACAAGGAUGAAACUUUAGAUAAGAGGGGGUGUCGCAAAUAUAUUAUUGAUCAUAUACAAGAUUGUAAAAAUAUUUUAACUCGGCUUGGAGAAGUUCAUCUUACAUUAUCGAGUAUGAAGUCCAUAUUUGGAGUACAAGAGGUUGUAAUUGUUGGACAUUUAUGUGGAUCUUAUGGAAGAAAAUCAGAUCCGACUAAAUUGAUGCAAUUAGAAGGAUGAAAGAGGAUUGUGAUUCUUUAACAGAGGUUCGCAGGUUUUUAGAUGCAUGUAUAUUUUAUUGAAUUUGGAUCCCUCAUUAUGCUCACAUAGUGGAUCCAUUAUAUGAACUAUAAUGGAAGGGCUACCGAUUUAAAUGGGAAGAAAGGCAUAUUCAGGCAAUGCAAAGAUUGAAGAAAUUAUUGAUGUCACCUCCAAUAUUGAUGAAGGUUGAUUAUAAGUGCAAUAGACCAGUGAUUCUUACUAUGGACACUAGUCCAAUUGCCAUUGGAUGGGCUAUGGAUCAAGAUGAUUUAAGUGAGAAUAGAUUUGCAGUUCGAUUUGGAGCUAAAGUUUUAAGUAUUUGUCAACGUGCAUAUUCGCAAGUCAAAAGAGAACUUUGGGGAGUUAUUUCGGCUAUGAAAGCUGAAAAGGACUAUUUGAUUGGGGCAGUAGUAGUAAUUGAAAUAGAUUGCUUGCCAUUGCUUAGAAUUAUUACUAACUGUUCAAUGCCAGAUAUUACAAUGUUGAGAUGGAUUGCUUAUAUUAAGUCACUAAAUCUGGAAUUUAAGCAUGUUACUGAGAAAGACAAUUUAGUAGCAAACAUGUUAUCUCAAGUAAGAUACGAGAGGGAGGACAAAAUGGUUGAAGACAUUGAUGACGUUGAAUUGAAAUUCUAUUCAAUAUCAAAUCUCAACAGAGAAGACAAGCUAUUUCUUGAAGAAUCUUAUGAAGGAGAACUAUUGGAUAUUAGUCAUUACUUGAAUACCUUGACUAAGUAGGGGAAUUGAUCUACAGAAAAAUUCAAACAAAUAAGAAAAAAAGCAUAUAGAUUUUUGCUUGAAGAUGGAUUCUUAUGGAAGAGACCGAAAAAGGAAUUGGGAUGCCACAACGAGUGAUAAGCAAAAAAGAAGAAAAACUAAAAUUAUUAAAGGAGUUUCAUGAUAGUUUAUAGGCAGGGCAUAGAGGAAUCUAGACUACUUUUGCUAAAUUGAAGGAACGAUAUUGGUGGAAAAAUAUGUAUUGAGAUGUGCUCUCAUUUAUAGAAUCAUGUGAAAUCUGUCAAUGGUAUUGUAAUAUCUAACAUCGAGAUGGUCUUCAUCCUACGUAUCCUCUCGCUAUUCAUUUUAAAUGGAUUGUUGAUUUGGUUAUUAUGCGAGUUGGGUUAUGGCAGAUGAGAUAUUUAGUCUUAGCUCAUGAAGAUUUAUCAAAUCAAGUAGAAAGAAGAGCAUUGAAGACAAAAUCUACAAAGGAGAUUUGUAGGUUUUUGCUUGAAGAUGUCAUUUACCGCUACAGAUGCAUAAGAAAAAUCACUAUAGAUCGUGGAGAAUUAAAUGCACAAGAAGCUCGUAAGUUCUUUAAAAGAUGUGGAAUUAAACUAUCACUGACUACUGCUUAUAAUCCGAAAGGGAAUGCAAAAAGCGAACGUGGUCACCCAUCGAUUAUGAAAGCAUUAGUUAAAGCUUGUAAUGGAAAAGUUAGAGAGUGGCCACGGCUUUUAUCAUUUGUAUUAUGGGCUAAUCGAACAACACAUAAUUCGGUGACAGGAUAUAUACUAGUAGAACUUAUGACAGGUCAAAAAUCAAUUAUGUCGAUUGAAGAAAGGGUACUUAUUUGGAGUAUGCUACCAUGGGAAGAUGGAUUGACAAGAGAAGAACUUCUAGCUAUUAGGAUUCGACAAUUGGAGCAAAGAUCAGAAGAUGUGUAGAUAGCAUUGGAAAGGUUAAAAAGAGCAAGGUUACAAAACAAGGCAUGAUUUGAUAAGCAACAUCGAUUGAGACUUAAAGCAAUUGAAGAAGGUGUUUGAGUACUUAUUUAUGAUGGUAGUCUGGACAACCAAUAUAGCACUUUACGGAAGUUUUCAAAACGUUGGUUUAGAUCGUAUGUGGUAACAACUGUUCAUGAUAAUACGACUUACUCAUUGCAGGAGUUAGAUGGCACAAGAUUAAAAAUACCAAUUGCAGGGAAGAGAGUGAAAUUGUUUAAAUAAAGAUAUGUAAAAAUAAAUAUAGAAGAUCUUAAUGAAGACAUAGAUAUUCCGUAGUGGGAAGAUGAAAUUGAUUGGAUAGCAAAGACGAUGAAGAUGGACUAGACGAAGAUUUGGAGAACAUAUUAUGAAUUAAAUGGGAACUAGGUUAAUUGGUGCAUACCGGAGGAUGCACAAGUUCAGAGGGGGUGGAUGUCAUGUUGUAACACGUCUAUAUGAUGAAAAUAUAAAUGAAGAAGAUUUAUUAAUAUUUAGUCACCUUAGAUUUUAGAAGUGGCAGCCAAUUCCAGUGUAAAUAUUGAGAGGCCAAGUUCAGUCAUCCCGUUAUAGUCAGCCGGGGCAUACUCACCAAUAACAAAAUGCUCUAUUUGAUUCCAGUAACUGGAGUCAGCUGGAAGAGAAAGGACCAAUUCAACCUCCAGUGAGCCUGAUUUGGAGAGCCAGUUGGAUCCAAUUUCAAAAGACAUCUAAUCCAGGUCCUAUUAUGGGCCUCUUAUCUAGUAUGAGACCUGAUUUGGUCGGGCAAUCUAAUGCGGUCCAAUUACGGGGCUUCAAUUCCGUUUCAGGCUGUUCCGUUCUUUGUGCCAUUUUAGGAACGUCUUUUUGGUAAAAAGAUCUCUUAAAGGCAAAAAUGGGGGGAAGAAAGCGGGGAGAUCGGCUGUUCCAAUUUGAAGAGUCCAAGGCAGAAGAAUAGGAUCUUCUCAAGAUGAAAAGGGAGGGUAGGUUAAGAAAUGGAUUUUUUUUUCGAGAAUCAGGAUUUUAGGUCGGAGAGCUAGCUUCAUGCUUUUGGAAAAAGAUGGAAAAUUGGGGUUUUUUUUUUUAUAUAUAGGAUUUUGGAGAGACUAAGAGGGGGGUUGCUAAAAGUCAGUGUUAUAUUGAUGAACUGGAUUUUUUCGUAAGAAAGGAAAGGCUGGUACUCUUGAUUGUUGAUGGAAUGGGAGAUAUUUCUGUAGUUGAAAUUCAGAGUUGUCUAAAAGGUUGAGUAUGCUGAAUGCAUGCGUGGUUGUGUUAAUCUGACUGUACGGAUAGAGAAUAUUUGCCAAGAAUUUAAAGAGGUAUUCAGAGUUGGCAAAUUGAGGGUUGUUUAGGGUUUCAAUGUUAACUAGGGACCUACCGACAGGGAUAAGAGGAAUAUCAGCGAGCGGCCAAGGAACAUCGGUGUGGAUAUAGCAUAGCCUCACAAUCUGUAAGCGGGAUUGAAUUGGAACUUCUUAAGCAUUCGAAAGGGCUUGCAAAGAUACUAAUGAUAGGUAUUUUACAACAAAUCAAAAGGACAUAUUGAAGAUCUUAGCUUGCCGAAGUUCACAGUCUAGGAUUAAGGUAAUUAACGAUAAAGAUAAAAUAAAAAACAUAAAAUAAAUAAAAUAAAAUAAAAAUAACAAAAGAGAUUGAAGUUAUAUAAGAUCUCUAGGCGUUUUAUAUUGGAAUUAAGCUUUUACAUUGCAAUCUGAUAUAUAGAUUGUAUUUAGGUAGUCAAGAAUCCGAUAUAGAUUGUAUUUGGGUGGUCAAGAAUCCGAUAGACUGCUUGAGUACUAGCAAAACACCAUACUACCUCCUACUGCUAGACGCCCAAUGUGAUCUCAAGCAAGAUAGCACGUAAUACGAUAAUGUCCAAAGGAUUAGUAAUUUCGAUUGCAGUUCAAAUGGGUGCAGUGGGCGAUCAAAUGACUAGCGACGUGCCAUCACCUACUUUUCGGGAUUUGUCAAGUGUGGAUCCAGAUCAAUAUUUGUCUCAAUUCUUGACGAUGGGUAUAGCCAAUAAUGGAAGAAUAAAAGACAUUUGGCUGACAUGGCUGCGAGUGACAUUGAAAGACACAACGUUUGAGUGGUAUAACCGCCAACCUAUGGGACAAUUUAUCAAUUGAGAGGCAUUAAAAAGUAUAUUUUUAGCCUAUUUUUGAUCAAUUGGUUUUGAAAAACGUCUUAGAAAAAAAUUAAUGAACAGCAGAAUGGUACCAAGGGAAGCGAUACAGUCAUAUUAUGGUUGCGUAAUAGAUAUACUUUGAAAAUGGCCAAAUAACCAAAUAUCAAAAUCGUUUGUAUUGUCCAUAUUGGUUAAUGGACUACAUCCACCAGAAUUGAAGAUGUUUGUAAAGGAGGCCCAAUCAGCCACUAUUGUAUCAUCUCUUAAGUGAAUAAAAGUUUGGGAGGAAUGCCAUUAUGAUCAGUUUUUAACUAUAAGAGCCAUGAUGAUUCCUGUUCAAGGUAGAUAUCAAAAUCCGACUUGGAAUGAAUCAGUGGAUAGUUAUCCAUGGAUGUUAGAAACAGGGACCAAUUUCAAUACCAAUAUUCAGAGGCCAGUUAAUGUCACCUCAUUGCAAGCUAUACCACCGAACGUGACAACAGCGUAUGCUCCAUAUUUUUUGUAUCAACAACAAGCGUUAACUAUGGCAGAGAUACCAAUAAUGCCAAUCCUAAAAGAUUCCAAUGAAACCUUGUUAUUGAAUUUGACGAAGAAAAUGGAGGAAAUGGUGGUCAAUAUGGCCAAAGAUAAGGAGAAGAGGCAAAAGCCUACCAAUACUAGGACCAAUGUAUGGUGCAGUAAUUGUAAGGGCCACGGUCAUUCUGUAACAAAAUGCCCCUAACACUCACAAAUAAUGAGUCAAUGUACAUUUUGCGAAGAAAAGCACAUAACAACAAAUUGUUGGAAUUGACAAAGAUAACAACAAUAAUUUAGUAAUCAGACCAUGAUCCCACCAACCCAAUGGGACGUCAAUCAAGUACAAAUCAGAAAUACGUUUGAAUGGAAUAGAAAUCGAUUUAAUCGACAAAAUUGAGCAUUCAAUAACUUUCAAAGUUCUAAUUUUAAUCAGGGGUCUGCAUCGAAUCCUCAGAACUAUGGUAAAGAGCAGAUGAGGUAUUAGCAAUAUGCUCUACCAACGUCAUCAAACCAAGUUUCUUCAGUACCAAUAGAACAACCAGGAUCAUUUUCUAACCCUACAUGGAACAAGCCUAGUAGGUAUAUAUCGGUGGAGGCACCCUAUAUGCCUGAUGGGGGUGCAAGAAGACCACUUCAUUAUUUUCGUUGCAGACAGAUUGGUCAUUAUGCCAAUGAAUGUCCCAAUCCGACGACAUUUUCAAGGAUUUGGAUGUUAUUCAGCCUUCAAUUACAAUGAAGCAACUUUUGGCUGUAGCAGCGGAAUGUCGAUCUACAUUGAAUUCAGUGGUAAUACGACAAAGAUUUUGCACUAAAGAAAUUCAUGAAGUUAGCUUAAAUCCAGAUCCGGGAGCACCAACAAUCGAUGUAUCAAUCGAUGGCAUUUUAAUUCCAAGGGUACAAGUCGAUGGUGGCUCCAGUGUGAAUUUAAUGAACGUGGAUACAGUAGAGGACUUAGAUCUAAAGCAAUUGCUACCUACGACAUUGGUCUUGCGAAUGGCAGAUCAUAGUCGGAUAAAGCCAAUAGGAAUCUUACGCAAUAUUGCCACUAUAAUUGUGGGAUUGAUAUAAAAAAUCAAUUAUAUUGUAUUUUGAUUAUAGUAUUCUACAUUAUGAUAUCCCAUUUUAUUAGGCAGACCUCGAUUUUAUGAAGCCAAAACUAAAAAUGAUUGGGAUUGAGGCACAUUGACAAUUAGAAAAGAUCGUGACCAGAUUAUUUUAUAGAUGUAUCCAAUACAAUAUCAUGGAGAAUCUUAAUUGCCAAAAUCAGAGUUUACAUCAAACAACGAAAGUCAAUCGAUUGAGGAAAAUGACGAUGCUAUAAGUUCAUUGUAAUUUGGAGUAUUACAAAAUACUUCAACAGCAAAGUUAGGAGUCUACCAAUGUGGAGGUCCUGGCGAAUAUUUACUACAUCAGGAAGAUGCGACUAACUCGGAUCAUGCUAUUGCCGAAUGGAUGAACAAUUCCACAGUCAAUAGAGUUUGCACAUUGGAACCAGAUUUGGAUGGUUCCCAUAUGUCAAAUAAUAUAAGAUAUUCAGAUUAGGAGAAGACAAUUAAAUCAGAGGUUGUUGAAGACCCUAUGUGUUAAUCUAUUAAAUUGAGUACCAAUGAAAUGCCAUAGCUAAUUAAAAUAUAUGUCGGUAUUAUAGGUAUAGAAUUGGAUGCUUGGAAACAGUUUUUUGUCCAUCACAAAUCUACCUUUGCGUGGUUGUAUGUGGAUUUGAAAGAGAUUUUAGUUGAUGUGUGAGCACUAGAUUAUUUUGGAGGAGGGUGUUAUGCCAAUUUGUCAAAGACAACAUUGGCUUAACCCAAAAUAUUUUCUUUUAGUGAAAGAAGAAUUGAAUAAACUUCUCGACGUGGAUUUUAUUUACUUGGUACCAAAUAGUGAGUGGAUUUCUCUAAUCGUAAUGGUGCCGAAAAAGAAUAGAAAAAUCCAAAUUUGUCAGGAUUUUUGGAAACUUAAUGCGGCCACUAAGAAAGAUUACUUCCCAUUACCUUUCACGGACAGUAUGGGUAACAUGUUGUCAUUAUCACCAAGUAGUAAAAGAAUAGGAGUGAGGCACCAGUUAAAGUCAUUAUGUAGUAUUGUUUUGGGUUGACUAGAGUGCCAUUUUCUUGUAUUUCUUGUAUUUUCGAGAGUAGUAGUUCCAAUUAAGAGUUAACAGUGAGGAGUCAGUCACAAGUAUCGAUUGAAGAUAUUUUAGAAUAUAUGAAUUAGCAGCUAUAAUAAUUGGAACUUUGAAAUGUCGAGAUCUUAAAACUAGAUGCUCAAGUCCGUGUACUGGGUGAGUACAAUGAUGACCUUUCAGCUCAGUUGAGGCAGGAGCCGAUGGAAGGACUGGAAGAAGAAGAAGAAGAUUUGUAAUUGGAACCAGAUUUGGUCGAACCUACAUUCGAUAAUGCAGCAAAUGAUUAAUUAGGUGGACCAGAGGAACUAAUAACUUUGUAGAGAUUUGUUAAGUAAUUUUUAGAUAGGUAUCAAUUGAGUGUUUGCGAGGACGCUGUACAGAUAGGAGUAGGGCUAUGUAGAAUAGAUAUUAAUUCAUUUUUGAAAGAUAUUGGUAAAAUAUAUUAAUAGUCCAUAUAAUAGGAAAUUCAGGAGGACAGAUGAGUAAUUUAGUUCUUAAAAGCAGUUAAUUACAAAAUUACGGUUAGAAUUUGGAGAAUCAGGAGAAAGUAUAUACAAGUUGUAGAAGUUAAUUAGGGUGCCAGACUGUGAUAGUCAUGAGCCGAGGGCCAUUGCUGUGAUAGUUGUGAGCCGAGGUAAGCUUGGUGCUUCCUCUUUUCUUUUGUUUGUUAUUUUCUUUGAAUAAGAGGAUUGAGAGUUUUUCAAUAUUGUGAAGUGAAUUAUGGAAUGGAAAUGUGAUUGGUAUUAUUUGAGAAGAAGAAAGAUUGAAUGCUGAAAUCUGAUUGUAGUUCAGGAGAGAGAAUGAGUCUAUGUUUGUGUGAAACACCGUAAUGUGAAUGGCAAUUGUGUGUGAAGAAUUCCAGUGAUUGGAAUGAGGGUAAUUGUGU